RNAcentral lists this ribosomal RNA (489 nucleotides) under uncultured bacterium. RNAcentral describes it as "partial 16S ribosomal RNA". It matches the Rfam family "Bacterial small subunit ribosomal RNA", at positions 28 to 507 of the family's 1533-position model. The record is from RNAcentral.
GACGAACGCUGGCGGCGUGCUUAACACAUGCAAGUCGAACGGAAAGGCCCCCAUCUUGGUGGGGGUGCUCGAGUGGCGAACGGGUGAGUAACACGUGGGUGAUCUGCCCUGUACUUCGGGAUAAGCUUGGGAAACUGGGUCUAAUACCGGAUAGGACCAUGGUUUAGUGUCUCAUGGUGGAAAGAUUAUUGUUUUGGUGCAGGAUGAGCUCGCGGCCUAUCAGCUUGUUGGUGGGGUAAUGGCCCACCAAGGCGUCGACGGGUAGCCGGCCUGAGAGGGUGGACGGCCACAUUGGGACUGAGAGACGGCCCAGACUCCUACGGGAGGCAGCAGUGGGGAAUAUUGCACAAUGGGCGCAAGCCUGAUGCAGCGACGCCGCGUGGGGGAUGACGGCCUUCGGGUUGUAAACUCCUUUCGUUAGGGACGAAGCCGCACUUUUUUUGGGUGUGGUGACGGCACCUUUGUUAAGAAGCACCGGCUAACUACGUG